GGCCGGGCGACGGUUGUCCCGGUUUAAGCGUGUAGGCUGGUUUUCCAGGCAAAUCCGGAAAAUCAAGGCUGAGGCGUGAUGACGAGGCACUACGGUGCUGAAGCAACAAAUGCCCUGCUUCCAGGAAAAGCCUCUAAGCAUCAGGUAACAUCAAAUCGUACCCCAAACCGACACAGGUGGUCAGGUAGAGAAUACCAAGGCGCUUGAGAGAACUCGGGUGAAGGAACUAGGCAAAAUGGUGCCGUAACUUCGGGAGAAGGCACGCUGAUAUGUAGGUGAAGUCCCUCGCGGAUGGAGCUGAAAUCAGUCGAAGAUACCAGCUGGCUGCAACUGUUUAUUAAAAACACAGCACUGUGCAAACACGAAAGUGGACGUAUACGGUGUGACGCCUGCCCGGUGCCGGAAGGUUAAUUGAUGGGGUCAGCGCAAGCGAAGCUCUUGAUCGAAGCCCCGGUAAACGGCGGCCGUAACUAUAACGGUCCUAAGGUAGCGAAAUUCCUUGUCGGGUAAGUUCCGACCUGCACGAAUGGCGUAAUGAUGGCCAGGCUGUCUCCACCCGAGACUCAGUGAAAUUGAACUCGCUGUGAAGAUGCAGUGUACCCGCGGCAAGACGGAAAGACCCCGUGAACCUUUACUAUAGCUUGACACUGAACAUUGAGCCUUGAUGUGUAGGAUAGGUGGGAGGCUUUGAAGUGUGGACGCCAGUCUGCAUGGAGCCGACCUUGAAAUACCACCCUUUAAUGUUUGAUGUUCUAACGUUGACCCGUGAUCCGGGUUGCGGACAGUGUCUGGUGGGUAGUUUGACUGGGGCGGUCUCCUCCUAAAGAGUAACGGAGGAGCACGAAGGUUGGCUAAUCCUGGUCGGACAUCAGGAGGUUAGUGCAAUGGCAUAAGCCAGCUUGACUGCGAGCGUGACGGCGCGAGCAGGUGCGAAAGCAGGUCAUAGUGAUCCGGUGGUUCUGAAUGGAAGGGCCAUCGCUCAACGGAUAAAAGGUACUCCGGGGAUAACAGGCUGAUACCGCCCAAGAGUUCAUAUCGACGGCGGUGUUUGGCACCUCGAUGUCGGCUCAUCACAUCCUGGGGCUGAAGUAGGUCCCAAGGGUAUGGCUGUUCGCCAUUUAAAGUGGUACGCGAGCUGGGUUUAGAACGUCGUGAGACAGUUCGGUCCCUAUCUGCCGUGGGCGCUGGAGAACUGAGGGGGGCUGCUCCUAGUACGAGAGGACCGGAGUGGACGCAUCACUGGUGUUCGGGUUGUCAUGCCAAUGGCACUGCCCGGUAGCUAAAUGCGGAAGAGAUAAGUGCUGAAAGCAUCUAAGCACGAAACUUGCCCCGAGAUGAGUUCUCCCUGACUCCUUGAGAGUCCUGAAGGAACGUUGAAGACGACGACGUUGAUAG
RNAcentral lists this ribosomal RNA (1395 nucleotides) under Escherichia coli. RNAcentral's name for it is "partial 23S ribosomal RNA". It matches the Rfam family "Bacterial large subunit ribosomal RNA", at positions 1489 to 2859 of the family's 2925-position model. Lineage: Bacteria; Pseudomonadati; Pseudomonadota; Gammaproteobacteria; Enterobacterales; Enterobacteriaceae. The record is from RNAcentral.